Molecule: ribosomal RNA, 253 nt
Filed under: uncultured bacterium
Lineage: Bacteria
Description: partial 16S ribosomal RNA
Rfam family: Bacterial small subunit ribosomal RNA
Source: RNAcentral
UACAGAGGGUGCAAGCGUUAAUCGGAAUUACUGGGCGUAAAGCGUGCGUAGACGGUUAUGUAAGUCAGAUGUGAAAGCCCCGGGCUCAACCUGGGAAUUGCAUUUGAGACUGUGUAGCUAGGGUGCGGAAGAGGGAAGCGGAAUUUCCGGUGUAGCGGUGAAAUGCGUAGAUAUCGUAAGGAAGACCAGUGGCGAAGGCGGGUCUCUGGACAGUUCCUGACGCUGAGGCACGAAGGCCAGGGGAGCAAACGGG